GUCCUCCUGCAAGCUGAGAAUUAGCAGAACUGAAGCAGCAUAAGUUAUCCAUAAAAAGUAACUACUCCUCUACUAAUUAACAUCAAUUUUAUAUAAUCCCUAAAACAGACAACCUUGCAGUAUUACCAAAGUGUUCAAUGAUAUGGGUAUGCGUACCAGUUGACUUUUCUGUUGAUUAAACAGACAAAGUGUUUAUAUGGAGGUUGUGUUUUCGUCGUUGAAGAACAAGGUCUUCG
Molecule: unclassified non-coding RNA, 236 nt
Filed under: Hevea brasiliensis (rubber tree)
Lineage: Eukaryota; Viridiplantae; Streptophyta; Magnoliopsida; Malpighiales; Euphorbiaceae
Source: RNAcentral